AAGAUGGCAGCAACUCACCACAACUCAACAGUGCUGAGCGCACCGGCUGAUUUCCACUUCAACACGAGAAGGCAAAAUGAAAAGCUUCACAUGAAAUAAACCCUCACACCUUUAACAGCAUUUUCAAUUAUUCCACAUGACAUGAGGCCACCAUCCUCCCCGACUAAUUCAGAAGCGAAUGCGCCAACAUUUCUGACAGAAAGAAGUCAAUGACCUUUAAGCUGGAAAUGCUCUGCUGGUGCGGCGCCCUCCCUGUCUUUUUCCAUCAGACCUGGAGGUGCAGAGCGAAGACACAUCCUUUAGCUGAGGAACGUCUCUCGGCUUAGUUUCAUCCUCUAAAAAGCCACACUGCUGAGGCGGGAUCUUCUGUCAAACUGGCUUCUGUUGAAUCUGUCAUGAGAGAGCUCACAGCGGGAGUCAAGAUGCUGAAGUGUUGGAGCCACAGAGAUGCGUCACAUGAAACAUGUCUCUUUGUCAAAGUCAGAGGGAGAGUCUCAGUGCGUCAUCUAAUUGUAUAAACUGAACUUGUUCAAACACGUGGUUUGGUCUUUUACACCACAGGUUGCUUCAUCAGUUUGUGACGAACCCAAAGCAGUUGAUCUAUCAGCUUCAUGUUUUCUAUUCCUUUUUAAAAGAACUUCCCUUAUAAAAUAUUUGACUAAAUUGGGUUAAACUCGGCCUGUUUUUACUGGCACCUCUUUGAACCCSUUUUAUAUCUGUGCUCUGGUGAAGUCAUUGUUUUUCAUGUACAAAAUAAAGAACAUUUGGGUCCC
Austrofundulus limnaeus is the source of this 773-nucleotide long non-coding RNA. RefSeq lists it as uncharacterized. The transcript has 5 exons. Lineage: Eukaryota; Metazoa; Chordata; Actinopteri; Cyprinodontiformes; Rivulidae. The record is from RefSeq and is a predicted model, not a curated record.